CCAGCACCCAAAUCCAAGGGCUUAGUAUUAAUGUAAUAGUGGUUCAAACACAGGUGCUAACAGCAAAGGGGGCCCCAUCGCUUUUGGAGGACUGUCUGCGCCCUUCAAAGUGAAUUUAGAGGUUCUACACAC
Erinaceus europaeus (western European hedgehog) is the source of this 132-nucleotide small nucleolar RNA. The record is from Ensembl. NCBI's taxonomy places the organism in Eukaryota, Metazoa, Chordata, Mammalia, Eulipotyphla, Erinaceidae.